This 253-nucleotide ribosomal RNA is filed under the name uncultured bacterium. Its description in RNAcentral is "partial 16S ribosomal RNA". It matches the Rfam family "Bacterial small subunit ribosomal RNA", at positions 524 to 776 of the family's 1533-position model. The record is from RNAcentral.
UACGAAGGGGGCUAGCGUUGCUCGGAAUCACUGGGCGUAAAGCGCACGUAGGCGGAUCUUUAAGUCAGGGGUGAAAUCCUGGAGCUCAACUCCAGAACUGCCUUUGAUACUGGGGAUCUCGAGUCCGGGAGAGGUGAGUGGAACUCCGAGUGUAGGGGUGAAAUUCGUAGAUAUUCGGAAGAACACCAGUGGCGAAGGCGGCUCACUGGCCCGGUACUGACGCUGAGGUGCGAAAGCGUGGGGAGCAAACAGG